This 497-nucleotide ribosomal RNA is filed under the name uncultured bacterium. RNAcentral describes it as "partial 16S ribosomal RNA". It matches the Rfam family "Bacterial small subunit ribosomal RNA", at positions 28 to 507 of the family's 1533-position model. The record is from RNAcentral.
GAUGAACGCUGGCGGCGUGCCUAAUACAUGCAAGUCGAGCGAACGGACGAGAAGCUUGCUUCUCUGAUGUUAGCGGCGGACGGGUGAGUAACACGUGGAUAACCUACCUAUAAGACUGGGAUAACUUCGGGAAACCGUAGCUAAUACCGGAUAAUAUUUUGAACCGCAUGGUUCAAAAGUGAAAGACGGUCUUGCUGUCACUUAUAGAUGGAUCCGCGCUGCAUUAGCUAGUUGGUAAGGUAACGGCUUACCAAGGCAACGAUGCAUAGCCGACCUGAGAGGGUGAUCGGCCACACUGGAACUGAGACACGGUCCAGACUCCUACGGGAGGCAGCAGUAGAGAAUCUUCCGCAAUGGGCGAAAGCCUGACGGAGCAACUCCGCGUGAGUGAUGAAGGUCUUCGGAUCGUAAAACUCUGUUAUUAGGGAAGAACAUAUGUGUAAGUAACUGUGCACAUCUUGACGGUACCUAAUCAGAAAGCCACGGCUAACUACGUG